GGGGCAGGUAUGAUGGAAGAGGAGAGGUGCUGCUGGAAGGAGGAAGAUUGAAAUGGAAGAAGAUGGAAAGCAAAGAGUUUGUCUGGGUCCAGAUCACAUCAACAAUCAACGCUGCACUUAAGAAGCACAAAGUCUUGUAGCAGACAACGUGAAGGAGGCCCAUGGCAUACAGCUGAUGGACCAUGGUGUACUGCACUUUGCCCAUGCUAUACCUACACAAAUUGCAAGAAGAAGAUCAGGGUCAAGUAGGUUCCCUCUUGACAGAUGACACAGAAGCAUCUGAAGGUGUCUUGUGCUCCCCAAAGCUGAAACUCUCCUGAACUUGUAGGAGGAGGCUUCCUGAGAGUGUUGUGCUGCAACUGCUUUUGGUGGCAUGUUUGAGAGUGGAUGCUUCAUUGGUUAGUCCCUGAACUAUGGCCUAAUAUGUGUGAAUGCUGACAAUGAUUUACAGGCCUGAAGUGGUUUGUAUGCCCACACACAAACAUGCUCACAGGGGCCAAAAUGCCCUUGUGUGCUGGCACCUGUGCAUUCCCCUCCAUCCCCUGGGGUGCCCUCAUUCAUGGGACAAGCUUUGUCCCUCUGGUCUACCGCCAUCAGCUGUGCAAGGUGAGAGGAAAGAGCAGAUUGAUUUCCUCUUCCACACUGAGGUUUAGCAACAGGUGAAACAGGGGAAAGGAGAGCUGGGGAGGUGGGUGCUGGGGAAUCAGCUACAGGAGGAGCCUGAGGUGAACUCUGAACAUCACCAGCAGCUCUCAUGUCAUACUGCUUUCUGAACCUGUGUGGAACUAAUGUGAAAUUCAUGAUUGCCAUGCUGACCACAGUGCUGUCCAUGUUUGCCCAAUGACCUGAGAUCUGAGCUAGGAGGACACUGUGACAAUAUCUGUGCCACCAGAGAUAAGUUGAAUCAUGCUUCACUUUGUUCUGCAUCAUUUUCUUGGCCGUGAGCUCUGCUACCAGCAAUCUCCUAGCUAGGUACAAGUGAGCUGCCUUGAGUUGCUGCCAGCUUUGCCUUUGGUCACAGACCUGACAGCCCCAGAGCUCAUGUAGAGAACUGAGGACGUGAUAACAUAAAACCAUUUGCUACAGGAACAUUCAGAAGGGGAACCACCGAAAACCAAUGUCAAUA
Molecule: long non-coding RNA, 1126 nt
Organism: Pogoniulus pusillus (Red-fronted tinkerbird)
Lineage: Eukaryota; Metazoa; Chordata; Aves; Piciformes; Lybiidae
Exons: 3
Source: RefSeq, a predicted model, not a curated record